Molecule: long non-coding RNA, 2354 nt
Filed under: Nicotiana tabacum (common tobacco)
Lineage: Eukaryota; Viridiplantae; Streptophyta; Magnoliopsida; Solanales; Solanaceae
Description: long non-coding RNA (NTAB_LNC014204)
Source: RNAcentral
GGACCCUUCUAGACUCUUCUUUGGAAUAAAAACAAACAAAAAAGACCCUAAGGACCUAAUACACAAAAGACCUAGGGACUAAUAGGCAAAAUACACAAAAAUAUACCUAAACCUAGACUCUACCUAUAAAGUAAUGCUGAAAAGGACUGGAAAAAACUGCGCAGCCUUUCACAAGAGCCCCACCCCUCGUCAUCGUCUUCUUCGACCUCCCCCCCCACUGGUCUUCGUCUUCCUCAUGUUAGGUUGAAGCAGCAACCUAACGCCUAGAAGAAACCCAACCCAUCGUUCACCUUCUUCUUCUGAAAAAACCAGUGAACCAAAAACUCCCUUGAACAAAAUUUCAGCCGAUAAACACACACGAAACACACACUCGACCCCUCAUCUCUUCAACGACCAACAGUAGAAAAUUCCAUUCCCUCUACUGUUUCCUUCUCGCCACAAUUCCAGGAUUUAGGAGCUUCCAUUUUCAGAGAAACUAAAGCAAAGUAGGUGAAAUAAGUUCUCUUAAUCCAUGAGUUCGUUGAGGUUGCUGGUGUGGUCUCCGUCUUGUAUCGAUUUUUGGCUUCAAUUUGGUCGAUAACUUGCAUUCGCAAUUCGUUUGUGGUUGAUUCGGUUUAAUUGAAAGCUUUGUUCGCAAAGGUCCAUUCCUUGCUCCUUUUAACUUAAUAUUGUGUAUGAGGUCUUGUUUACAUAAUCUGUGAUUUUACUCCUCGUUGAAACUCCUUGUUCACGAUGUGCUUUGCUAUGAAUUGUUUGAUUUUGGCUCAAGACCGUCACUGAAAUGGGUUUUGGAAUUACGCUUUGUUAAUCUUUCACUUGAAGUUGAGUGAUCAAAAAUGCUAGUGAAAUGUUAGCUUCUAAAAUCAUCAAGAAAACAUUAAGAUGGAACUAUAUUCUGUUAGCAAGUCGAUCAUUUUCUAUGGCGACGAGCGAAGCUGACAAAUUUUUUGCCUCUAAUCAAUAUGAGAAGCUAACAUGAAGACAAUUUUCUAUUUGGUUUGUGAAAAUAAGAAUAGGCCAUGGAUUUGUUCUUGAAACAUUAGUAUGGGUUCAAUCUAAUAAAUACAAUGUGGCCUAUUUUCCGUAAUAGAUCUCUGUUUAAGUCACAUUUUAGUGUUUAUUAUCAAUUAAUCUCAGGCUUUAGAAGUCUAGUAAUUUAUUUAGUUGUAAAAUGUUUUAAGAUAGAUAUUUUGUUAAUAUUUCAAAUAGCACUUCCAAGAACUUCUUAUCCUUAAUUUGGAUCUUCAAUAAUCUCAAAGCUUAGGAAGAAUCAUGAACACCGUAGUGUGCCUCUGGCGCAUUAUAAUAAUUAUCAUGGCUACGGGUAUGGUUCCCGUGACGUAGUUGUGAUGCUUGAUUCCUAAAUUCAGGUGCGCAUUUAUGUGACCCAAAUCCAAAUCUCAACAACGUUAGAUAAAAUGUGUCGUGGACCGCGGGUGCAUUUAUGUGACGUGGUUCAAGACAUGUUUUUAAUAAUGUUGAAAUCCUCCUAAAAUAAAACAAUUAAAUUAAAGCGGGUAUAAAAUUAAAAAUUGCACCAUAGGCUAAGCAUGUAUUAAAAUCAAGUAAAUAAGCCAAUUAUAACAGUUGAGCGACCGUGCUAGAACCACAGAACUCGGGAAUGCCUAACACCUUCUCCCGGGUUAACAGAAUUCCUUACCCAGAUUUCUGUGUUCGCGGACUGUAAUACAGUGUCAAUCUUCUCCUCGACUCGGGAUUUUGAACAGGUGACUUGGGACACCAUAAAAUUAUCCCAAGUGGCGACUCUAAAUUUUAAAUAAUAAAUAAAUCCCGUUUCGAUUAUCACUUUAAGUUGGAAAAAACUCCCUUUAUACCCUUUCCACGGGUGUAGAUAAAAAGGAGGUGUGACACUUUCCCUCUUAAGUUUAUUCUUAUUGUUAAAUAUAGUAGGCUACUGGAAAUAAAGGUCAUGAUUCAUAACCAACCUCCCAACAUCAAAUAUUGUGGUCAAGUUAAGCAAUUUGGAGGCAGCAUUUACUCAGUUAUAACUAUGUAAUUAGUUGUAUGUCUUACAUUUUGUCUAUUUCUCAGAACUCAUAAGUUAUCUUAGACUUUUUUUAUAGUGGUGAUGUCCGAGCCAGCUCGAUCAUACCUUGACUAUUCUGUAGGGUACUUGCUAUCUCUAGUGGGUAACUCUGCCACCAAUGCAAGCAGAUGGAACGAAAUCAUCAAGCAUUCUUUGAACCCUGGUCUACCAUGGUUUUCGUCCGACUUCAUCGACCACUAGAACAUACUUUUGUGUGCUUAUAGUUAUAUUUGACUUGACUAUAAUCUAUACUAUUUGUUUUAAUAACAAUGGAGUUUGGACUAACUUGCGAACACCUCGACUACAA